This 1797-nucleotide ribosomal RNA is filed under the name Dehalococcoidia bacterium. RNAcentral's name for it is "partial 23S ribosomal RNA". It matches the Rfam family "Bacterial large subunit ribosomal RNA", at positions 1 to 1842 of the family's 2925-position model. Lineage: Bacteria; Bacillati; Chloroflexota; Dehalococcoidia. The record is from RNAcentral.
GGUCAAGCGACUAAGCGCAUACGGUGGAUGCCUUGGCGGUCAGAGGCGAUGAAGGACGUGGCAGCCUGCGAAAAGGGCCGGGGAGCUGGCAACAAGCAUUGAUCCGGUCAUGUCCGAAUGGGGAAACCCACUCCUUUUAGGAGUAUCCCGCGCUGAAUACAUAGGCGCGUGGAGGCGAACUCAGGGAACUGAAAUAUCUCAGUACCUGAAGGAAAAGAAAUCAACAGAGAUUCCCUCAGUAGCGACGAGCGAACGGGGAACAGCCCAAAAGUUGCACCAGUUCUAGAAGAAGGGUCUGGAAAGGCCUGCCAUAGACGGUGAUAGCCCGGUAUUCGAAAGGGCUGGUGCGAUGAAAGUGAGUAGGGCGGGGCACGUGAAACCCUGUCUGAACAUGGGGGGACCAUCCUCCAAGGCUAAAUACUCCUGACCGACCGAUAGUGAACCAGUACCGUGAGGGAAAGGCGAAAAGAACCCCGGAGAGGGGAGUGAAAUAGAACCUGAAACCGUAUGCGUACAAGCAGUCAGAGCCCCUUCGUGGGGUGAUGGCGUACCUUUUGUAUAAUGGGUCAGCGACUUACGUUGUGUGGCGAGCUUAACCGUCUAGGGGAGGCGAAGGGAAACCGAGUCUGAAUAGGGCGCACAGUCGCACGGCGUAGACCCGAAACCGGGUGAUCUAUCCAUGCCCAGGGUGAAGGUCCGGUAACACGGACUGGAGGCCCGAACCCACUCCUGUUGCAAAAGUAGGGGAUGAGGUGUGGAUAGGAGUGAAAAGCUAAUCGAACCCGGAGAUAGCUGGUUCUCCUCGAAAGCUAUUUAGGUAGCGCCUCGUGUAUCACUGUUGGGGGUAGAGCACUGUUAUGGCUAGCGGGUCAUUGCGACUUAGCAAACCAUUGCAAACUCCGAAUACCAACACGUGCGAGCACGGGAGACACACGGCGGGUGCUAACGUCCGUCGUGAAAAGGGAAACAACCCAGACCCGCAGCUAAGGUCCCAAAGUCAUGGCUAAGUGGUGAACGAAGUGGGAAGGCAUAGACAGCCAGGAGGUUGGCUUAGAAGCAGCCACCCUUUAAAGAAAGCGUAAUAGCUCACUGGUCGAGUCGGCCCGCGCGGAAGAUUUAACGGGGCUAAGCCAUGCACCGAAGCUCGGGGUUUACUCGCAAGAGUAAGCGGUAGAGGAGCGUUCCGUACGCCUGUGAAGGUGGAUCGUAAGGUCUGCUGGAGGUAUCGGAAGUGCGAAUGCUGACAUGAGUAACGAUAAGGGGGGUGAAAAGCCUCCCCGCCGAAAGCCCAAGGUUUCCUAGCGCAACGUUCAUCGGCGCAGGGUGAGUCGGUCCCUAAGGCGAGGCGGAAACGCGUAGUCGAUGGGAAGCUGGUUAAUAUUCCAGCACUUUAUCGCAGUGCGAUGGGGGGACGGAGAAGGGUAGGUGUACCGGGCGUUGGUUGUCCCGGGGAAAGGAGGUAGGCAUGAGGCGUAGGCAAAUCCGCGCUUCUUUAUGCCGAGCACCGAGACGAGUCCUUUUAGGACGAAGUCACUGAUCCCACGCUUCCAGGAAAAGCCUCUAAGCUUCAGCUGCGAUAGAACCGUACCGUAAUCCGACACAGGUAGGCAGGGUGAGAAUCCCAAGGCGCUUGAGAGAACUCGGGUGAAGGAACUAGGCAACAUAGCACCGUAACUUCGGGAGAAGGUGCGCCCCGGUCUGUGGCUACAUGCGUAGCUGAGCAGACUGGGGCCGCAGUGACCAGGCCGCUGCGAAAAAAAAAAAAAAACACAGCACUCUGCAAACACGAAAGUGGAC